Long non-coding RNA from Phasianus colchicus (ring-necked pheasant), 4346 nucleotides. RefSeq lists it as uncharacterized. NCBI's taxonomy places the organism in Eukaryota, Metazoa, Chordata, Aves, Galliformes, Phasianidae. The record is from RefSeq and is a predicted model, not a curated record.
GAACCAAUCCUGCAAAGCCCACAUCACCCAAAUCCCGCAGCCUCAUCUGAUCUCAGGGUGCUGGAAGUUCUUUAUAGAGAGAGAGCGGUCGCUCGCACUGGACAAUGACAUUGGAACUCCCUUGAGGCAGCGGAGGAAAGCCGGGCUCCAUCCAGCAGCUUUGGGAGAGCUUGUCAGAACGUGACACCUAGUGGUUGUGAGCCACAGCAACACUCAGACCUCAAACUGCCUUGUUCAGCUCCUAUGAGCAUCCGUAUUGAGGAAGAAAGCAUCAAUUUCUACUAGUUUUCAAAGGAACGGGACCAUCUUUCCCUUCCUGCACCCAGCCCGUCCAAAAAGCAACUUCUAAGCAGAACGACCACUAAGAAUUUGCAGACCUCAAGCUCAGUUUUGACACCGCUGCCAUUUGGAAACCCUGGGCUCAAAAAGCAGCUGAGCACAGCACCACUGCCCCACCUGAAGUCACCCGCAUAGAUGGCUGUAUUGCAAACUAACCUGAGUUCAUCCUGCAGCUGUUUCUCCAUUUGGGCUGGGAAAAUACCCGCUCUGCAGUUGCAGUGUUCAGGUGUGUUCAUAGGGUGUCUUCUGCCCUCCAAGCACUUCACAGGUGGUUACGUGUGAUUAUCAGCUCUGAUCACCAACUCUUCAGGCCUCCGAGUUGUUCUGCAGCACCUCUGAAGGCAGUUUGAUUACACAGCCACUUCUCCACACGUUCAGACACUUCAGUUUUGUCACAUAAAAAGAAACACCACACAAGACAGUAAUUACCAAUAUCACAAGUAAAUUGGCCAUUUGUUAGAAUUAAUGCAUGUCUUGCAGCUGCCUUGAUCAAAAUAAGAGCCCACUGGAAUCAAAUAAACCAUUUCUUCAGCAAACAGCUCAGCUAUACUAUAUAUUAUACACACACACAAUUUAUCUAUAUGCACAAACACAAUAAGACCUCCUAAGCUUCUUUGUUGGGCAAAGUGGAAUGGGUGGUAGCUUCUGGAAUCCUUAAACAGCAACAGUAGAGCUGGAACUGGUAUUAUUCUCAACCUUUCUUCCCACUGAAAUGGCUUACCUUUCUGAAAAGCCCCCAAAGAGUGGUAAUUAUGGUCUGCAACCAUUCAUUGGGCUCAAAUCCCUUACCAGAAAUAGUCUCCUACUGUUCCACCAAAAGAAGCAUGAAUAACCUCAGCUUAGCACAACAUAUCUAUAUGAUACCCAGGCCCUAAACCUGGCUACUAUGGGUCAACUAGAUGAAUUUGUGUUUAGUUAUUAGCCAACUGUUAUUGGUAAAAGCAAUUUAUUUCAAUUAAAGCUUUUUUCUCUAAUUAUUCAAUAAGAUUCAUACCACCUUAACAGCAGAAGCACUGCAAAAAUCACUACAUGUGAAACUCCUUGAGAGCUGCACCACACAUCAAAUCAUUGUUUUAUCAACAUGAAUUACCCAACGGAAAAAGGAACUCAGCUGACAGUUUUUAGGUUGAGUUUAACACUAAGCAUGAAACAAGGCAGCUUGGAACUUCAAACCUGGAAUCUCCUUGUAGGCAGUAUGCUGCUUCUAUCCCAAUGGAGCAGAUAACUGGACAUCCAUCAGUUCAGCUGCAACACAGAGGUCAUUGUCCUUUCAUUCCAAUUACAAUACAGCCCAGCAGAGCCUUUCACAGACUGAAGCAUCAAAGGCUGUCUGACAUCUGAUCAUAUUCCACUCAUAAUGAAGUGGGUCGUUCUGAAGGAUGAAUUAUUUUCUUGACAGAGAAUCUCCUCUAACUUGAAGAGCUUAACUGCACAAUGAAAUACAGACACGGGUUGCUGUGCUUUUUUAUUGCAUGGUUGCACACUAGUUUAACAGCUAGAAAAAUACAGUAGCUAGAAGUUUCUUUACAUCAAAAUGAAAGGUCUGUAUGCUACGAGUACAAAAGGCACUUCAAUAUGUAUGUUGUACAAAGGCAAUCAUUUCAGUAAAUUACCAUUAGGCACAACAUAUAUUACAAUAUGCACUUGAGAACUUCUACUCUCACUUCUUUAAGCUGUCCUCAGAAUGAGUUCCACUACAACAUUUCAUUCAUAGUGCUGACUGCCACAGGAAUGUCUCUCAGAACAGUAUUAAUUAACAGAAGCAAUUAGGUUCAAGGACAAACAUCUGUUCUGACCCUUCUCUACUGUAUUGUCCAAAAGAGCCUAAAGAUUCCUAUGCAGACACCUUCCAAAUACAGUUUAAGUCAGUUGUGCAAAGUCGUUACAGACAUUAACUAAAUUAGCCAAGAACCCAACAAAAUACAACAAAAAAAAAACUAAAAAAAACCCCAAAAGACCCACUUUCAUUUUCAGCCUGUUAAUUUUAACCAGAGCCUGCCCUGCAACUGGAAUACUGUCCAUUGGAACCAGAGAUGCUAAGACACUGACAUGGAAAUGUAGCAGGCAUCUUGAAAGCAGCACAACUCUAACAGCAAAUCCCUGCAGAGCUUGUUUUAGCAAAAUCCAGUUCAUUUUUUCCUCUUCUGACCCUGUUUACACACGUGUAUAUAUUAUAUAUAUAAACUCAGUGCUGAAACUGAAAUAGAUUUUAUGUCAGGAUAUUUAAAUGCUGUAGAAGAUAAAACAUGAACACCAUGGUAACCCCUAAGAACAAAAUGUGUAUCUUGUAUUUGCACAUGCCAGGAAGAGACAUUAGUUGGUGAAAUAAGCUUGGUGGAUCAGAGGUACACAAAACCUUAGAGUAAGCAGGCAACUAAAAUACUCUGAGCAAUUGCAUAAGGCUUUUCUAAAGACCCAUUCGCUUAUGAUAGCAAGAAUUUGCUUGCUUUAAAGGACUUUAAUAACCACAAGAAGAUAGUUCCUAAUCAGAGCUUAUACAAUUCAGAGAUACUACAUUAACCUGCUUGUAAGGAGGUUAGUUUCCCAUUGCUCUUUUCAGCUGUAAUUCAAACUGACCCAAAUUAAGCCAAGUUGUUCCCUCUGUAAUUCUAACAAUUUUCCUCCAUCAGUAAAGCAAACAAUUGGCUUCUCCCUGAUCUCACAGAGCCUAUUUCAGUUCUUUUUGCCAUAUCCAUUUCCACAUUUAUAAGGCAGCAGUUCUAAUUAUGGUUGAUGCAGGCUGCCUCUAUCUAGCUUAGUUCCACUGAGUCACCUCCAUUGUUAAAUGCAAAGACAACAUUACAAUGACUGUAUUACAGGAUUUUUCCUAAUUGCUAAUAAUGAAAGCAAGUUCAACAAUGAACUCAGGUACAAAGUAAAAUAAAUCUCUUCCUAUUGCCAGACUUGCAAAGUCCCUUUCAAAGUUAUUUUCAGAACCUGCCAUCCUCUGGCAAAACCAUUACAGCCACAACAGAAGUGGCUCAGCAGAGUAGAAACGUAAUAAAAUCUGGCAAAGUCAUGCAUGGUAUAAUUCAACUGAGCUAUAAGGGCUCAAGACUGAAGAUACAUACUGCCACUCAGAACAUAUUAUAAAGAUGUAUAUACAUCACACAAGGAGCAGAAGCCAAUGGAGAUUUUCUUAGAUCUACUGAGUAGUCACCCUAAAAUUAAGCAGCCACAUUAGCAGAGAAAGGCACAACUGCUGAAAUGUAACAGAAGUCUGAGGUAGAGAUAUUGAGGAAGCAAAGGCACAAGUUUUAAUUGGUUAAGCAAAAAUAUUCAAAAGCUUUAAAAUCAUUAGAGUCACGCUGAAAAGUGUUAAAGUGCUUUUAAAGUGAACAUUUGGAAUGGGAAAGUAUUGAUUCCAAAAGAUGUGAAUUUGUCACUGACAAGUUGGUCUCCUGGCUUCAUUAGUCCUGAAUGACACCAGCAACUGCUGACUGCUUAAUGGCAGGAGAGGAUCAAGAAAUGCAUCCUCUAAAAAUAUACAUGAAAUACAAUCAAGAUUGGGCAGCCUGGUCUAGUAUUAGAUAUGGAGGUUGGCAGCCCUGCAUGCAGCAGGGGGGUUGGAGCUUCGUGAUCCUUGAGGUCCCUUCCAACCCAAGCCAUUCUAUGAAGAUUGUUUCGUGAGUACACAACCAGUGUACUAUACUCACUAUAGUUUGUGCAUAUGCACACUGUUAAGUACAACACAGCAUAAAAAGUCAUUCAGAAAGGUGCACUAGAGAAAGUUAUGGCUAAUAGCAUAGUUCAGAGGUAGGCAUUGUUUGUGGCAACUGGGCCAUAACUUCAGUAAAAGGCUCCACAGCUGGUAACUUAAAACAAUUUAGUCUGGUCCACAACUGAGUUCCAACCACCACUGGUCUUUGUUACCAUAAGGUGCUAUAUAGAACAACACGGUCCCAGUAACCAUGAGGGUGGGUAACUCUCAAGAAUAGAAGUUCAGCUUAAGACAAAACAUUGGGAAGAUUGCACUGGUGCUCUAGAAGUUGCUGGAAAAAAAAAAA